UGGGGAAUUUUGGACAAUGGGGGAAACCCUGAUCCAGCCAUCCCGCGUGUGCGAUGAAGGCCUUCGGGUUGUAAAGCACUUUUGGCAGGAAAGAAACGUCAUGGGUUAAUACCCCGUGAAACUGACGGUACCUGCAGAAUAAGCACCGGCUAACUACGUGCCAGCAGCCGCGGUAAUACGUAGGGUGCAAGCGUUAAUCGGAAUUACUGGGCGUAAAGCGUGCGCAGGCGGUUCGGAAAGAAAGAUGUGAAAUCCCAGAGCUCAACUUUGGAACUGCAUUUUUAGCUACCGGGCUAGAGUGUGUCAGAGGGAGGUGGAAUUCCGCGUGUAGCAGUGAAAUGCGUAGAUAUGCGGAGGAACACCGGUGGCGAAGGCAGCCUCCUGGGAUAACACUGACGCUCAUGCACGAAAGCGUGGGGAGCAAACAGG
RNAcentral lists this ribosomal RNA (429 nucleotides) under Acidobacteriota bacterium. RNAcentral's name for it is "Acidobacteria bacterium partial 16S ribosomal RNA". It matches the Rfam family "Bacterial small subunit ribosomal RNA", at positions 355 to 776 of the family's 1533-position model. The record is from RNAcentral. Lineage: Bacteria; Pseudomonadati; Acidobacteriota.